Molecule: long non-coding RNA, 593 nt
Organism: Monodelphis domestica (gray short-tailed opossum)
Lineage: Eukaryota; Metazoa; Chordata; Mammalia; Didelphimorphia; Didelphidae
Source: RefSeq, a predicted model, not a curated record
CCAGAAUCCUGCUGCAUCAGAGUUUCCCAGGCAACUUAGUUGGUGCCCCUGGAGCCUUUAGGUCAGAUUGGCUAGGGCAGUAUACCAGUGUGGCUGCCUUCAUACAGAGUUCUACCUAUACAACAGGCUAGUAACUGAAUACUCCUACCUUUGAUACCCGAAAUUGGCUAAACUUAAUGAUAAUCCUAUGAGAUUUUAGGUAGAAAUUGCUAUGCCGCGGUGGAUUCUUUCUCCAUAUAAAAGCUCCACCAACCAUUUUGUCACCCCGGUUGGUGUCAGCAUACCAUGGUACAACAGCCUGAUAGCUGGCAAGAGUGUCAUCUUCCUCCUGAUUCGCAAGUUCUGCUUGGAGGUGUUGCAGUUAUUAUAUUGGAUCUUUAUCUUCCUCUUUGCCCUACUUGCUGUUACCUGGAACUACAUGAUGAAGCUGCUGGGAUUUUCAAGGCCUGAACCAAACAUGACCCCCGACAAUCACAACUGCGAUAGUAUUGCCGAAAAUUGCAAGGUUGUCCUUCAGGCCAUCCUAUGUCUGAUCUUUAUUCUAAAAAAUCACCAGAUGUGCAUAUGAAUAAAACUCUGCUAUAAUCACCUCA